Molecule: ribosomal RNA, 2192 nt
Filed under: Escherichia coli
Lineage: Bacteria; Pseudomonadati; Pseudomonadota; Gammaproteobacteria; Enterobacterales; Enterobacteriaceae
Description: bacterial LSU rRNA
Rfam family: Bacterial large subunit ribosomal RNA
Source: RNAcentral
ACCGAACCGACUAAUGUUGAAAAAUUAGCGGAUGACUUGUGGCUGGGGGUGAAAGGCCAAUCAAACCGGGAGAUAGCUGGUUCUCCCCGAAAGCUAUUUAGGUAGCGCCUCGUGAAUUCAUCUCCGGGGGUAGAGCACUGUUUCGGCAAGGGGGUCAUCCCGACUUACCAACCCGAUGCAAACUGCGAAUACCGGAGAAUGUUAUCACGGGAGACACACGGCGGGUGCUAACGUCCGUCGUGAAGAGGGAAACAACCCAGACCGCCAGCUAAGGUCCCAAAGUCAUGGUUAAGUGGGAAACGAUGUGGGAAGGCCCAGACAGCCAGGAUGUUGGCUUAGAAGCAGCCAUCAUUUAAAGAAAGCGUAAUAGCUCACUGGUCGAGUCGGCCUGCGCGGAAGAUGUAACGGGGCUAAACCAUGCACCGAAGCUGCGGCAGCGACGCUUAUGCGUUGUUGGGUAGGGGAGCGUUCUGUAAGCCUGUGAAGGUGUGCUGUGAGGCAUGCUGGAGGUAUCAGAAGUGCGAAUGCUGACAUAAGUAACGAUAAAGCGGGUGAAAAGCCCGCUCGCCGGAAGACCAAGGGUUCCUGUCCAACGUUAAUCGGGGCAGGGUGAGUCGACCCCUAAGGCGAGGCCGAAAGGCGUAGUCGAUGGGAAACAGGUUAAUAUUCCUGUACUUGGUGUUACUGCGAAGGGGGGACGGAGAAGGCUAUGUUGGCCGGGCGACGGUUGUCCCGGUUUAAGCGUGUAGGCUGGUUUUCCAGGCAAAUCCGGAAAAUCAAGGCUGAGGCGUGAUGACGAGGCACUACGGUGCUGAAGCAACAAAUGCCCUGCUUCCAGGAAAAGCCUCUAAGCAUCAGGUAACAUCAAAUCGUACCCCAAACCGACACAGGUGGUCAGGUAGAGAAUACCAAGGCGCUUGAGAGAACUCGGGUGAAGGAACUAGGCAAAAUGGUGCCGUAACUUCGGGAGAAGGCACGCUGAUAUGUAGGUGAAGUCCCUCGCGGAUGGAGCUGAAAUCAGUCGAAGAUACCAGCUGGCUGCAACUGUUUAUUAAAAACACAGCACUGUGCAAACACGAAAGUGGACGUAUACGGUGUGACGCCUGCCCGGUGCCGGAAGGUUAAUUGAUGGGGUUAGCGCAAGCGAAGCUCUUGAUCGAAGCCCCGGUAAACGGCGGCCGUAACUAUAACGGUCCUAAGGUAGCGAAAUUCCUUGUCGGGUAAGUUCCGACCUGCACGAAUGGCGUAAUGAUGGCCAGGCUGUCUCCACCCGAGACUCAGUGAAAUUGAACUCGCUGUGAAGAUGCAGUGUACCCGCGGCAAGACGGAAAGACCCCGUGAACCUUUACUAUAGCUUGACACUGAACAUUGAGCCUUGAUGUGUAGGAUAGGUGGGAGGCUUUGAAGUGUGGACGCCAGUCUGCAUGGAGCCGACCUUGAAAUACCACCCUUUAAUGUUUGAUGUUCUAACGUUGACCCGUAAUCCGGGUUGCGGACAGUGUCUGGUGGGUAGUUUGACUGGGGCGGUCUCCUCCUAAAGAGUAACGGAGGAGCACGAAGGUUGGCUAAUCCUGGUCGGACAUCAGGAGGUUAGUGCAAUGGCAUAAGCCAGCUUGACUGCGAGCGUGACGGCGCGAGCAGGUGCGAAAGCAGGUCAUAGUGAUCCGGUGGUUCUGAAUGGAAGGGCCAUCGCUCAACGGAUAAAAGGUACUCCGGGGAUAACAGGCUGAUACCGCCCAAGAGUUCAUAUCGACGGCGGUGUUUGGCACCUCGAUGUCGGCUCAUCACAUCCUGGGGCUGAAGUAGGUCCCAAGGGUAUGGCUGUUCGCCAUUUAAAGUGGUACGCGAGCUGGGUUUAGAACGUCGUGAGACAGUUCGGUCCCUAUCUGCCGUGGGCGCUGGAGAACUGAGGGGGGCUGCUCCUAGUACGAGAGGACCGGAGUGGACGCAUCACUGGUGUUCGGGUUGUCAUGCCAAUGGCACUGCCCGGUAGCUAAAUGCGGAAGAGAUAAGUGCUGAAAGCAUCUAAGCACGAAACUUGCCCCGAGAUGAGUUCUCCCUGACUCCUUGAGAGUCCUGAAGGAACGUUGAAGACGACGACGUUGAUAGGCCGGGUGUGUAAGCGCAGCGAUGCGUUGAGCUAACCGGUACUAAUGAACCGUGAGGCUUAACCUUACAACGCCGAAGCUGUU